RNAcentral lists this ribosomal RNA (471 nucleotides) under uncultured bacterium. RNAcentral's name for it is "partial 16S ribosomal RNA". It matches the Rfam family "Bacterial small subunit ribosomal RNA", at positions 29 to 507 of the family's 1533-position model. The record is from RNAcentral.
ACGAACGCUGGCGGCGUGCUUAACCCCUGCAAGUCGAACGCUGAAGCUUGGUGCUUGCACUGGGUGGAUGAGUGGCGAACGGGUGAGUAAUACGUGAGUAACCUGCCCUUGACUCUGGGAUAAGCCUGGGAAACUGGGUCUAAUACUGGAUACGACAUGCCACUGCAUGGUGGUGUGUGGAAAGGGUUUUACUGGUUUUGGAUGGGCUCACGGCCUAUCAGCUUGUUGGUGGGGUAAUGGCCUACCAAGGCGACGACGGGUAGCCGGCCUGAGAGGGUGACCGGCCACACUGGGACUGAGACACGGCCCAGACUCCUACGGGAGGCAGCAGUGGGGAAUAUUGCACAAUGGGCGGAAGCCUGAUGCAGCGACGCCGCGUGAGGGAUGACGGCCUUCGGGUUGUAAACCUCUUUCAGCACGGAAGAAGCGAGAGUGACGGUACGUGCAGAAGAAGCGCCGGCUAACUACGUG